Non-coding RNA from Puma concolor (puma), 134 nucleotides. NCBI's taxonomy places the organism in Eukaryota, Metazoa, Chordata, Mammalia, Carnivora, Felidae. The record is from RefSeq and is a predicted model, not a curated record.
AGCUUUGCGCAGUGGCAGUAUCGUAGCCAAUGAGGUUUAUCCGAGGCGCGAUUAUUGCUAAUUGAAAAGUAAAUAAACGUUAAAAUUUAAAAAAAAAAAAGACAUAUUUUAAGUGCAGUAACCAAGAUUACGUG